Molecule: ribosomal RNA, 730 nt
Filed under: uncultured bacterium
Lineage: Bacteria
Description: partial 16S ribosomal RNA
Rfam family: Bacterial small subunit ribosomal RNA
Source: RNAcentral
GCCGCCUUAMCUGCAGUCGAACGGCAGCRCGGGAGCAACCUGGYGRCGAGUGGCGAACGGGUGAGUAAUAUAUCGGAACGUGCCCAGUAGUGGGGGAUAGCCCGGCGAAAGCCGGAUUAAUACCGCAUACGACCUAMGGGUGAAAGCGGGGGAUCGCAAGACCUCGCGCUAUUGGAGCGGCCGAUAUCAGAUUAGSUWGUUGGYGGGGUAAAAGCCYACCAAGSCGACGAUCUGUAGCUGGUCUGAGAGGACGACCAGCCACACUGGGACUGAGACACGGCCCAGACUCCUACGGGAGGCAGCAGUGGGGAAUUUUGGACAAUGGGCGCAAGCCUGAUCCAGCCAUGCCGCGUGYGGGAAGAAGGCCUUCGGGUUGUAAACCRCUUUUGUCAGGGAAGAAAYSKUCUGASYUAAUACSUYGGRMKRAUGACGGUACCUGAAGAAUAAGCACCGGCUAACUACGUGCCAGCAGCCGCGGUAAUACGUAGGGUGCAAGCGUUAAUCGGAAUUACUGGGCGUAAAGCGUGCGCAGGCGGYYUUGCAAGACAGRUGUGAAAUCCCCGGGCUYAACCUGGGAACUGCAYUUGUGACUGCAAGGCURGAGUACGGYAGAGGGGGAUGGAAUUCCGCGUGUAGCAGUGAAAUGCGUAGAUAUGCGRAGGAACACCGAUGGCGAAGGCAAUCCCCUGGACCUGUACUGACGCUCAUGCACGAAAGCGUGGGGAGCAAA